AGCUCCAAUAGCGUAUAUUAAAGUUGUUGCAGUUAAAAAGCUGGUAGUUGGGUUUCUGGCUGGACAUAUGGGUCCGCUCUUUGAGUUGGCACUUUACAUGUCUGGCCAUCCUUUGGGAGAGCCACAGUGGUAUUAAGUUGUUGGUGUGGGGAUCUCAAUAUUUUACUGUGAAGGAAUUAGAGUGUUCAAAGCAGGCUUACGCCGUUGAAUAUAUCAGCAUGGCAUAAUAACAUAGGACUAUUAUACUAUUUUGUUAGUUUACGAGCAAUAGUAAUGAUUAACAGGAACAGUUGGGGGUAUUUAUAUUCCAUUGUCAGAGGUAAAAUUCUUAGACUUUUGGGAGACAAACUACUGCGAAAGCAUUUACCAAAGAUGUUUUCA
RNAcentral lists this ribosomal RNA (381 nucleotides) under uncultured eukaryote. Its description in RNAcentral is "SSU rRNA". It matches the Rfam family "Eukaryotic small subunit ribosomal RNA", at positions 587 to 972 of the family's 1831-position model. The record is from RNAcentral.